GCACCACAACCUACUUUUAACAUGCCAUUUCUGGCUGAGAAUGGGUGUGAAAAUGAUAGGAAAUAAUGAAAAAAACUAGGAAAAAGACAAAAAAAGGAGAGAAAAAUAGAAGGGAAGGGAGAAGAGAAAAAAGAAAGUAUGAGAUACUUAUCCGAAAAUCAGAUUGUUCAUGUGUUGAAUAUAAAAUCUGAUUAGAGUGUGGUUUGCUACUCUGAAAAAAAAUUCUUAGAGUGGUCCUAGUGGAGGUCAUGAAGGCAUACAAGCAAUGGUGUAUUAAGUUCUUGCGAAGGACCAUCGACAGCACA
This 305-nucleotide long non-coding RNA is filed under the name Elaeis guineensis (African oil palm). RNAcentral describes it as "long non-coding RNA (EGUI_LNC045078)". Lineage: Eukaryota; Viridiplantae; Streptophyta; Magnoliopsida; Arecales; Arecaceae. The record is from RNAcentral.